Molecule: transfer RNA, 67 nt
Organism: Homo sapiens (human)
Lineage: Eukaryota; Metazoa; Chordata; Mammalia; Primates; Hominidae
Rfam family: tRNA
About the family: Transfer RNA (tRNA) molecules are approximately 80 nucleotides in length. Their secondary structure includes four short double-helical elements and three loops (D, anti-codon, and T loops).
Source: Rfam
GGUAAAAUGACUAAGUAGGGCAUUAGACUGUACAUCUAAAAACAGAGGUCAAGGCCUGUUUUUACCA